CUGGAAGUGAGGAUCCUUUCCCCAGAUGAUCGACUACGAUUAUACUACGCGCAAUUGUGAUGCCUUCUCUCCGGAGAAGGAUUCAAAGCCAGAAAUCUGAUCCAU
Molecule: small nucleolar RNA, 105 nt
Organism: Dichanthelium oligosanthes
Lineage: Eukaryota; Viridiplantae; Streptophyta; Magnoliopsida; Poales; Poaceae
Rfam family: Small nucleolar RNA Z103
About the family: This family consists of several snoRNA Z103 sequences which are members of the C/D class of snoRNA which contain the C (UGAUGA) and D (CUGA) box motifs. This family seems to be found exclusively in plants.
Source: Rfam